AAGUCGUAACAAGGUUUCCGUAGGUGAACCUGCGGAAGGAUCAUUAACACGUAUCCAACGUUAAACCCCCCGUGCACACAGCGACCUGCUCCCCUCAAUUUCGGUCUUUUGGCAAUCCCUGGUAAAUCAUCGCCGAACAGUUUUGAUUCAGGGACAUCCAAAGGGCCGGGGUAGGGUAUUAAAGUAGUAGUCAAUGCAAAAGCGACCUGGUUUCUUUGAAGCAGAAAGUGUGAUGGCAUGAGCCAGAGAACGGACCGAGAGGUAGUUCGAAGGUGCCUUCUGUCGCGCACUGUGGAAAGGAAGACGCUUUACGAAUCACUGUCCAACACGGCCAGUGUCACCACCACAGUCGCAGACGAGGUAGGGAUACGUCCCUACCACCAAAUAAAUACUUGAACAACUGUUAACAAUGGAUAUCUUGGUUCUC
Molecule: unclassified non-coding RNA, 427 nt
Filed under: fungal sp.
Lineage: Eukaryota; Fungi
Description: partial internal transcribed spacer region
Rfam family: Eukaryotic small subunit ribosomal RNA (bases 1-46)
Source: RNAcentral